Molecule: ribosomal RNA, 255 nt
Filed under: uncultured bacterium
Lineage: Bacteria
Description: partial 16S ribosomal RNA
Rfam family: Bacterial small subunit ribosomal RNA
Source: RNAcentral
UACAGGGGGUGCAAACGUUGCUCGGAAUCAUUGGGCGUAAAGCGCACGUAGGCGGUUUGUUAUGUCGGAUGUGAAAGCCCUUGGCUCAACUGAGGAAGUGCAUCCGAAACUGGCAAGCUAGAGUACUAAAGAGGGUCGCGGAAUUCCCGGUGUAGAGGUGAAAUUCGUAGAUAUCGGGAGGAACACCAGUGGCGAAGGCGACUCACUGGACACGUAUUGACGCUGAGGUGCGAAAAGCGUGGGGAGCAAACAGGG